GCCGCAGUAUAUUAACUGUGCAAAGGUAGCAUAAUCAUUUGUUAUUUAAUUGAUAACUGGAAUGAAUGGUUUUAUAAAAAAUAUUCUUUUUUUAUUUUUAAUUUAAAAUUUUAUUUUAGAGUCAAAAAGCUUUAAUUUACUUAUUAGACGAUAAGACCCUUUAGAACUUUAAUAUUAUUUUGAAUUAUAUUUUUAGUUUUAUAAAUAUAAAUUAUUUAUAUAUUUUUGUUGGGGUGACAGUUAAAUUUUUAAAACUUUAAUUUAUAUUUAUUCAUAUAUUUAUGAUUUUUUUGAUCCAAUAUUUUUGAUUAUAAGAUUAAGUUACCUUAGGGAUAACAGCGUAAUUUUGUUGGAGAGUUCUUAUUAAUAACAAAGUUUGCGACCUCGAUGUUGGAUUAAA
This 400-nucleotide ribosomal RNA is filed under the name Orius sauteri. Its description in RNAcentral is "partial 16S ribosomal RNA". The record is from RNAcentral. Lineage: Eukaryota; Metazoa; Arthropoda; Insecta; Hemiptera; Anthocoridae.